Molecule: long non-coding RNA, 1549 nt
Organism: Drosophila virilis
Lineage: Eukaryota; Metazoa; Arthropoda; Insecta; Diptera; Drosophilidae
Source: RefSeq, a predicted model, not a curated record
GGUGCGGAUGAUCUGAUAGUCUGUUUGCAUUGAAUGUUAAUAACAGGUAAUGUUAAUUAACAGCAGGUGCUGCACACAGUAUAUAAGGAGCGACCGCCUGUAACCUGGCUUCAGUCGAAGCUGCGAAGCGGGCCGGUGCGGAUGAUCUGAUAGUCUGAUUGCAUUGAAUGUUAAUAACAGGUAAAUGUUAGUUAACAGCAGGUGCCGCACACCGUAUAUAAGGAGCGACCGUCUGUAACCUGGCUUCAGUCGAAGCUGCGAAGCGGGCCGGUGCGGAUGAUCUGAUAGUCUGUUUGCAUUGAAUGUUAAUAACAGGUAAAUGUUAGUUAACAGCAGGUGCCGCACACCGUAUAUAAGGACCGACCGUCUGUAACCUGGCUUCAGUCGAAGCUGCGAAGCGGGCCGGUGCGGAUGAUCUGAUAGUCUGUUUGCAUUGAAUGUUAAUAACAGGUUAUGUUAAUUAACAGCAGGUGCUGCAGACAGUAUAUAAGGAGCGACCGUCUGUAACCUGGCUUCAGUCGAAGCUGCGAAGCGGGCCGGUGCGGAUGAUCUGAUAGUCUGUUUGCAUUGAAUGUUAAUAACAGGUAAAUGUUAGUUUACAGCAGGUGCCGCACACCGUAUAUAAGGAGCGACCGUCUGUAACCUGGCUUCAGUCGAAGCUGCGAAGCGGGCCGGUGCGGAUGAUCUGAUAGUCUGUUUGCAUUGAAUGUUAAUAACAGGUAAUGUUAAUUAACAGCAGGUGCUGCACACAGUAUAUAAGGAGCGACCGCCUGUAACCUAGCUUCAGUCGAAGCUGCAAAGCGGGCCAGUGCGGAUGAUCGAUAGUCUGUUUGCAUUGAAUGUUAAUAACAGCAGGUGCUGCACAGUAUAUAAGGAACGCGCAACUGUAACCGGGAUUCAGUCGAAGCUGCGAAGCGAGCGCGUGCAGAUCUUGGGUUGGUGAUAAAAUGCGUGUGUGUUAGUAUAAAAAUAUGAACAACAGAUCGUGUAUGCAAGCUACAUAGAAGAAGAGCGAGUAGUCUAAAUAAAGCAGCCAGCUAUAAAAAGGCACCAGUUGAAGCUGCGAGCCGACCCGGUACAGAUGGGCUAAUACAGGUGAAGCCCACAGUAUAUAAAGGGCGCCCCUUUGCAGCUGAGCCUCAGUCGAACUUGCGAGGCGGGCAGGUACGGAUGGUCCAAAAUUUACAGCAGAUGCAGCCAAGCGUAUGUAAAGGGCGCCCAUUUGUAGCCGGGCUUCAGUCGAAGCUGCGAGGCGGGCCGUUGCAGAUCUUCAUUUAAUCUUAAUGCGCGUGUGUGUUAAUAUAAAAAUAUUUGUAUUAUAUCGUAUAGGCAAGCUAAAAAGAAAAAGAGCCAGUACUGUAACUAGGCUUCAGUUCAAGCUAACUUGUCCUUAAUGAAAUAGUGAGUUCCUAACUCCAGCUCUUUAUCCAUAUUGCACCCUAUUUAAUGUAAUUUACAAUUAUUAUUGUGUCAUCCCCUCUCUGUGUGUGUUACUCCCUCUCUUUUCCUAUUCUAUAUUGUACAUUCCCUACAUUUCAAAACUCACGCA